AAGAUAUUAGUAAAAUAAUUACAUAACUUUGUCAAAGUUAAUUUAUAGGUUUGAAUCCUUUAUAUCUUA
Molecule: transfer RNA, 69 nt
Filed under: Sundasciurus tenuis (slender squirrel)
Lineage: Eukaryota; Metazoa; Chordata; Mammalia; Rodentia; Sciuridae
Description: tRNA-Asp
Rfam family: tRNA
About the family: Transfer RNA (tRNA) molecules are approximately 80 nucleotides in length.
Source: RNAcentral